UCUGUUCUUAUCAGUUUAAUAUCUGAUAUGUCUCCACUUGGAGACUGUAUAUUAAAUUGAUUUUUGAAACAGGGAGAUGGAAUAAGGGCUUGCUCUGUCCACUCCAUGCAUCAUCCUGGUAUUGCAGUGUUUCCAGGAAUGGUGC
This 145-nucleotide small nuclear RNA is filed under the name Gambusia affinis (western mosquitofish). RNAcentral's name for it is "U2 spliceosomal RNA (ENSGAFG00000003944.1)". It matches the Rfam family "U2 spliceosomal RNA", at positions 39 to 185 of the family's 192-position model. From Rfam's summary of the family: U2 is a small nuclear RNA (snRNA) component of the spliceosome (involved in pre-mRNA splicing). Complementary binding between U2 snRNA (in an area lying towards the 5' end but 3' to hairpin I) and the branchpoint sequence (BPS) of the intron results the bulging out of an unpaired adenosine, on the BPS, which initiates a nucleophilic attack at the intronic 5' splice site, thus starting the first of two transesterification reactions that mediate splicing. Lineage: Eukaryota; Metazoa; Chordata; Actinopteri; Cyprinodontiformes; Poeciliidae. The record is from RNAcentral.